Long non-coding RNA from Syngnathoides biaculeatus (alligator pipefish), 1870 nucleotides. RefSeq lists it as uncharacterized. The record is from RefSeq and is a predicted model, not a curated record. NCBI's taxonomy places the organism in Eukaryota, Metazoa, Chordata, Actinopteri, Syngnathiformes, Syngnathidae. The transcript is spliced from 3 exons.
AGCUGGUAAAAAAAAAAAAAAAACUCAACAAUUAUAUGUAUUCUUAUUCUGAUUUUUCCAUUAGAGUACAAAGGCGACUCCCUGGAAUAAAAGUAGGAGAGCAGCAAGAAAUGUGACUUUAUUGAACUCUACCAGGGUACUAGUUUACUUAAAUCAGACACUUUCAUGAACAAUUGCAGUGAACUGGCAUAAACUUAAAAAGAAUUAUACUGCAAGACCGCAGGUGUCAAACUGAAGGCCCAGGGGCCACAUCUGGGCCACCACAUGAUUUUAUGUGGCCCGCCAAGCCAAAUCUAGUGUCAAUUUCCAUGAUUCUUGUAAAAAUCGGUGCCAAAAUUUCAAAUUGUCAUGUAUCAUAAAUGAUAAUGUUGAGAUAUCCCAAGCAUGUUUGUGUUAUCAAACAUGAAGAGUUGAAAAGAACACAUUACCCUAGAUUUCUGAUUCCAAAAGUAGAUCAUAAAUUGAUGAUGUCAAUACAACGAGACGAUUAAAUAUUUGUAUUGUUUCACAGUCAUAACGGCCCUCCGAGGGAAACCGGAACCACAAUGUGACGAGUUUGACACCCCCUGCUGUAAACAAAUGCAGUCCAAUUCAGCCUUUGGUCGGGGCGACGUCACGUCAAGCAAAACACGAACGGUACAGCAAUUAUUUUGAAACGACUAUAUGAGUUUUUGGAAGUUAUUUUUAAACAAUAAUAAUAAAAAAAGUCCUGAUCUAGAUUGACGGUAAGUGCUUUCAUAGUGUUUACCAAAUGUUUAAGAAUCGCGAGGGAAUGUUAGCAGUCGCCAUGGUGACUGGCAGUGGAACUAAAGGGGAAAAGACGUCACACAAUUUUUUUUUUUUUGUUUUGGCGUUGAGAUGGUCAACCCAAAAAUUGUGUGUUAGCAUAUGUGUGUGUGUGUGUUCUUGUCUCCUGGAGAGCAGAGACAACAGCUGAUAUAAUUCCGGCCUGGCAAGAAUGUGCGCUGCGACGACGCGCUCUGGGGGCAGCCGAGCCUGGACGGCUUCACCGCUGAGGUGAUUGUGGUUCUCCUCGCCCCACUACAAAGCUGUCACGGUGUUGGCAUGCGUGUUUGCGCCAACUGCUAAUACGCACCAUACAGAGUACUGCAUGUGCGUGCGUGAGGUAUGUGCCAGGGUGGGGCAAAUGUCAGAAGAGCCCCGUUGGAGUCAGCUGGGAAAACUUCGCAGAAGGAAGGGGCCGCAUACAGGAAGGUCGCGGGGAGUGCUGGAGCCUAUCCCAGCUGUCAACGGGCAGGAGGCAGAGGAGUGCCAGCCAAUGGCAGGGCACAGCCACACAUCCAUUUUCUAUAGAACUUGGCCUCACUGGGGUUGCAAGUGAGCACCCUGGACUGGUCGCCGGCCCAUCGGAGUGGGGGGGCACACAAGUCAAACAGUGGUUCACAUUUAGACCUAUGGACAAUUGAGAGUCUACAAUCAAUCGCACAUGCAUGCUUUUGGAAUGCAGGAGGAAGCCAGAGCACCUGAAAAUAACCCACCCAAGUGCCUAUUACUAUCCAUCCAUCCAUCCAUUUUCUUAGCCGCUUAUCCUCACGAGGGACAUAGGGCGUGCUGGAGCCUUUCCCAGCUGUCAACGGGCAAGAGGCGGGGUACACCCUGAACUGGUCGCCAGUCAACCGCAGGGCACAUGGAGACAAACAGCCGCACUCACAAUCACACCGAGGGGCAAUUUAUAGUGUCCAAUGAAUGUUUUUUGGGGGGGAUAUUGGAGUGGCCGGAGGAAACCCACGCAGCCAAGGGGAGAACAUGCAAACUCCACACAGGCGGGUCCUGGAUCGAACCCGGGACCUCAGAACUGUGACGCUGUCAACACUUUCCAGCCGUCAGUGCCCAUCACGAGCCUUCCUUA